UGUUGGCUUAGUUAGGAGGCAGAGAGAAAGUGAUCGUUCCUGUCUUCUGGACUGGGUCGAUCUUCUCAGGCCUUUUGAGGGGACUUCUCGAUGAUUCUUCAAAUCGAUUGUUCUCCAAGCAGCCUUGGACAUCU
Molecule: small nucleolar RNA, 134 nt
Filed under: Nelumbo nucifera (sacred lotus)
Lineage: Eukaryota; Viridiplantae; Streptophyta; Magnoliopsida; Proteales; Nelumbonaceae
Description: Small nucleolar RNA U19
Rfam family: Small nucleolar RNA U19
Source: Rfam by way of RNAcentral